AACGAAAGCUGGCGGCAUGCCUAACACAUGCAAGUCGAACGAGACCUUCGGGUCUAGUGGCGCACGGGUGCGUAACGCGUGGGAAUCUGCCCUUGGGUUCGGAAUAACAGUUGGAAACGACUGCUAAUACCGGAUGAUGACGUAAGUCCAAAGAUUUAUCGCCCAAGGAUGAGCCCGCGUAGGAUUAGCUAGUUGGUGAGGUAAAGGCUCACCAAGGCGACGAUCCUUAGCUGGUCUGAGAGGAUGAUCAGCCACACUGGGACUGAGACACGGCCCAGACUCCUACGGGGAGCAGCAGUGGGGAAUAUUGGACAAUGGGCGAAAGCCUGAUCCAGCAAUGCCGCGUGAGUGAUGAAGGCCUUAGGGUUGUAAAGCUCUUUUACCCGGGAUGAUAAUGACAGUACCGGGAGAAUAAGCUCCGGCUAACUCCGUG
Molecule: ribosomal RNA, 433 nt
Filed under: uncultured bacterium
Lineage: Bacteria
Description: partial 16S ribosomal RNA
Rfam family: Bacterial small subunit ribosomal RNA
Source: RNAcentral